GUCAACAUGUGCUAUACUUAUACCUGGAGAAGUGUGCUAGAAUAAUAUCCAGCUUUAAAACCAUCGCUGUUGGAGGUCCCGCUGUUUAGGCAGGCCCGGUGACCCAUGAAAUAGUGAUGACCUAAAGUUUGGUACAUUU
This 139-nucleotide non-coding RNA is filed under the name Komagataella phaffii GS115. The record is from Rfam by way of RNAcentral. Lineage: Eukaryota; Fungi; Ascomycota; Pichiomycetes; Pichiales; Pichiaceae.